UUUUUUUUUUUUUUUGUCGAUUUGUAGCGUCUGUAUUGUUCAGUUCAAAUACUCAGCACAACAAAACUACUAAAAAAAAAAAAUGAAAGAAUAAGAACUCUAUUAGUUUAGAAGACGAAUCAAUAAAACAUGUAAAGUCUACAUAGAGUACAGGUACAUAUCAUCAAAUAAAAUAAAUAAAUCUAAAAUGAUAAAGAACCCCUAAAUAGAAUUGGAUUUGCACCCGCAUGUAAAAGUCUAAAGCUAGUGUUGAUGUAAACAACCUGAAAAGAACAAUAAAUAUGAUCAGCCAUUUACAGCUAUAAAUAUCUGCAAAAAACAAUUGGUAUUAACUAAACAGUGCCAAAAGAUCAGUAUGUAUGCCAAAGUAAUCAAUUUUUCAAAUAGCAACAAAGUUUUAAUAUUAGUUAAAGAUGUGAAAAUAAAGGCAAAAACAAAAUAUUGAAAAUGAUAGGAAUAGUAGAUUGAAUCACCUGACUGAUGAAACAAUAAUACGUCUUGUUCCCAGCUAUAGUUGAUAGAAGUCAUAAUCAGCAGCCUAUACAGACUAACUAUUUUACCGACCUUUAUAUAAUGGCGUAUUUUGGGAGACUAAUUUAGAAGAGUACUGUACAAGUAUUAUGAAGUGUUGUCUCAUGUUAAUUUUCUCUUGAUUAAUUAGCAGUUUAGCAUCAUUAGCAUAAGAAUCCAUGGGAAAGACAAAGAAACAUGUCAAAAAAACAAUAAUAUUAGAAGAAAAAUAAGUUAAUCAUUUCAUAAUUUAUCAAUUUGUGUAAUUCACAGAAUACUAGUUUACUUCCUCAAUGGCUGAUUAGCGAAUUCAAAUUGUUUACUUUUAUCUUUGAGUUAUUUUUUUUUUUUGAGUUAUUUUACUUUUAUCUUUGAGUUAUUAGUAUGAGUUACAUUCAACAUAUACACUAAAAAUGACAAAUAUUCAAGCUAUAUUAAUUAGCUAGCCAACGACCAAAAAAAAUAGCUAUGUUGCUAGCUUACCAUGUUCAUAGCUACAUAAUGUGAUUAUUCCAUUACUAGUGGGUGGUCUCGAUAUGAAGCACUACUAGUGGGUGGUUAAAAGCAUAUACUAACCAACAAAGCAUUUCUGUAUCCAAAAGCUCAUACAGAAAUCUCUAAACCAGUUUAAGAAUUUGGCCGCUCAAAUAAUUGAGUUGCGUCCUGCUCCCCUCUACAAGUGCCCGUAUAUACUUUCUUCACAGUUUCAUGCAGUUGAAGCUAGCCUACAUGCACUUCACAAAGAGGAGCCAUCAAGGAGUUUGGUUUUGGGAUUGAGGAACAAACAAGCUCCACAACCAGAUCACCUCCACUGUAACCAUCAUCUCCACCACCAUUCCAGCUUUCGAACCCCGCUAACUCGUGUGAAAGGCGAAGGCCUUAAUCACAAAGCUGACGGAAAAUGGAGUGGUCAAGGAGCUGCUUAAUUGGUUUGCAUGAAGAAAUAGAAACCAUGACAAGGAAUUGCACCUACGCAUGAGCUGAACCAGUAACCAGCUCAUACUAACACUUCUGAGUUGUGGCUUUCUGUAUUGCUAUUUCCCAACAACCACUUUAUUCCCAAUAGAAUGCAACAAGCCACUGUUUUAAGUUGUAAUAAUAUAUAUUCUGAUUCAUUAGUGAUUACCAAGUAUAUAAAAACAUCUUUCCUUUGUUUGAAUGCAGACGAUAGCUACAUUCAUUUGUUCAUUGGGUUUAAAUAAACAAGAAAUCUUGUCCUCUUUCUUCCUACUUAUAAUUCUUUACUGUUCUAAACUAGUGAUAUGAACAUUUUGAAGGAUUAUAUAUUCUCAAACAUCUGUGGACCCAACCACACACUGAAUAUCGCACCAUCAAGUUUAAACUAAGAAUUGCACUGAGCUUUCUUUCCUUUUCAAUGCAGCCAGCGGCAGUGGUUUAGAAACUGUGACCGAAUUUUAGUUCCAACUCUUUAACUAUAAUGUAUGGGGAAAAAAAAAUAAAAAAAUCUCUUUAACUAUUAAUUAUUAGGUGUCCACUUAAACUCUCGAUCUCAUGAGUUAAACAUCUCCACAAUGAACCCGAGAUAGAGAUAAUCACUUGUGAAUCGCAUGUAUGAGAUGAAAUCCAGUAAUUUAAUGAUAAUCGUUUUACAAAAAAAAAAAGCUUAAACUUCUGCUAUGGUUGGUAAAGUUAGUAAUUAGAAAAUGUCGAAAAAAAGCUACUAACGAAGAAUUCGUGUGGCCAGCGUGUGGAAGCCGUGGUUAACAAAAUCUUAUUUGCACAUGACUAGGCAUGGGCACUUGAAAGUAUGAAUGCCACUACUAGAGAAAAGAAUCAGAACAUUUUUUUUUAUAACGAGACAUUGAAGGAACACAAGAAAGCCAAAAAGGUGAUGUGGGUUUGUGAAAAGACUAGCUAUGUGGCCAUAAAUCAACAUAAAAGUUAACAAAUGAAAAUUAGAAUAAAGUGGCCAGAGUGCUUGCCUUAGGCAAUUGGCAGGAAAGUUGCUUCUUCUCUUUUUUUAAAAAGGAAAAAAAAAAUAAGUGGGCAGUUUUGUCUAAUUGAUCAAAUAAUUGUUUUAUUCUGUUACAAAAAGUUUGAGUGAUAGUUUCUUAAGCUACACCACCGUUGUUAUUAGAGCAAAUAUGUAACAUUAUUAACCCCGAAGGAUUUAGGGUGGACACAUAUAUACUUGUCACAACCGACACCAGCCUCUAAGUAUGGAUUUUCAUAAAAAAAUUUAUACAUUUAAACGAGAUGUGUUGUCAAUAGGGAUCACACUUAAAUGAAGUCUCCACCACAAAUUCGUCUUUAGCAAUUGAGCCAAACCUCGUGGGCAAUUGAUUAAAUUAUUUUUGUUGGGAUGCUUUACAAUUAUAUUGGCUCCAUAUAUGUUUGGUACCUCCAAGUAUUUGUUUAGUGGUUAGUAGGACCAAAAUAAUGUGUGCGAGCAAUAUGGUGGGCACUGAGCUUUUCAUGAUCAAUGAAAGGUUCGCUAAAAGCAACAAAUAAUAAUGCUAGUGCCAGCAAUAUUUACAUUCAGCAAACAAUCGAGCCGACAUGGAAGAUGGUAAUUGGGGUAGGGCGUACGUGACCCUUCUCCAUUGUUAAUAGCUAAAAAUGAUUAAUCUAGGUAAACUUUGCCUCCAAUUAGACAAUGAUACGUGUAGAAGAUCAUGAUAAUAGAAAAACAAAAAAAACAAAAAAGAGUUAGUUACUUGAUCGAUCUUAGAUUCCUAGUCAGGAUCCAAGUUUGGUGACAAGUCUCUACUUCCAUGAUGAGAUCUUCGGCAAUCAUACCAAACUCAAAUGAGUUACUAAUAAAGUUUUCAGAUCAGCGCAACCUCCGCUUGUAUGUUAUUUGUUUUCUAUUUGAAAUGUUAAUCGAAACUGUAUUAUGACAUUCAAGGUUGAUUGCGGUCUUUUGGUUCGGUGAAAUAUUUCCUUACACCACAAAUUACAUUUCUCAUUCUCAAUGCUUAAUUAGUUUACAUCCCAAAUUGAUUCCUUUGAUAGUAUUGCAUGCAUCUAAUAAUGUCAUUAUAGUGUUCUUUCCAUUGCAAUGUUGUAGCUCGCAGUUUUGUUUCAAAUGACUAGCUAUUUGUUCAGGGAUGGAAUUAGGAUUGAGAAAUAAGGUAAGCUAAAUUUCUUAGUGUUCUAUUUAUCGGCCUUUUUUUUUUGAGGUCUCCAUAAAUCAUUAGAGGAAUCCCUCCAUAUCCCACCAAUCAAUCUGUUGCCAAUCAUUUUGGUUCUCCAUGAGGCAUGUCAGAAAGGAGAAUAGUUCUUCUAACUAGGAUAUAGUGAAUGGCUAAAUGAAAGUAGAAUAAGAAAAAUAAACCAAGCUUGUUGUCUUUCAAACACUUAACUAUACUCAUGGGAUAGCUGUCGUGGGUUUCUCGAAAGCUUGAAUGAAAAUUGUUACAGUGUAACCUCUCUGCUCCGAACUCUAUAUCACUUCUCCGGUUGUUAUCAAAGAAAGAUUGCCAAACAUCAAUACAACCUUGAAACUCCACAUAUGUAUAAUAAUUUUUUUGUCCCUAAAAACAUGAGGUGCGCUGCAACACAGCCUAGCCCACCUUUAGGUCUGUGCCUAUAUUUGUUUUGCUAAAUAAAAAUAAGUAGUUAGAGAAAUUCGAUAUAUGAUAUGUUUACUAUGUUAGUGGCUGAUGUUUUAAGUUUUUUUUUUUAAAUAAAAAAAGUGAGAUUCGAUAUAUGUAUAGCUAGGUUUGCAAUUGGAUCAUUCCAUCCGCGGAGUGCAUUUCACCGUGGCAACGAGAUGCUUUUUGUCAUGAAAAUGCUUCAAUAUUACUUCGAAGAACCAAAAAUAUAUAAUGCCCUUGCCAUAAAAGAGUGAUUAGUAAUUGACCAUUAUCCAAGUGAUUACUUACUAGCAUUUGACAUAUAAAAUCAUACAUAUACCGAAUAAAAGUUAGAUAUCCCAUAAAAUUCCAGAUUUCUUUAAUUAGUAGAUAUUGGGGGUUAAUUAAUGGAACACCAUAAUAGCCUUUAUCUAAUUUGGUACAGUACUUAAGAAUCAUUAAUCCAUGAUUAUUCCUUUGGUGAUUACAGUUAGUGUACGUAGUCAAAGCAAAUCCAAGUCGAUCUAUGAUUCCGCUGACAAUUUUGGCUUUCCUCUUUCUUUGGGGUGGUGUGGUUGUACGGCUCUCUAAGCUCUUUAAUCAGUUUUUAUUGAUAAAAAGUAUUGAGUAAUUACUGUUAAUAAUCCAAGAUUAUACAUGAUCAGCUAGGAUCUUCUUCCACGUACCCUGAAUAAUAUAUAGAGAGUAGAGUCAUCCUCAUGAGGAAGAAGAGGGUAGAGAAUGAAGAGAAUCAAGAAAUAUAACAAAGAGGGUAGAGAAUGAAGCAUGAGAUGCUUGAAUCAGUGGCCUUUGGUCUUAGCUUUGAGUCAAGAUUCGAUUGUCAAAAUUGUAAUCCAAUUAUGUUAGAGAUGCUUGAUUAUAUAUAAUUAUUAAACCCUGUUUUUCUCCUAAUUCUGUACAGCAUUUGUUUGUUAAUUUAUUUGAAUGGUACAGUACUAUUAUUCUGCACUGAAUCUUCACACUGUACACUGAAAACCUUGAAGUCAGAUAUUUCAGAACCUGCAUGGAGAGUUGUCAUUAUUUUUGUGUACCUUCAAAGUUACUUCCUGCAGGAAACUACUAUAAAUAGCAAUAUUUGCAAUCAAAUCUAUGCAAAACUCAAUCUGAACCAUCUUCUUACUAUUCUCAACAAUCCCAUCUGAAACACAUAUUAAGCAUACAACCAGAACAUCACAAGUGAUAGAAAGCUCAAGCUUUAGAUACACAGCCUCAACACCUCAGAAUUUGAUUUAUCUCAAAUCACAAGAAGAAGUAAUUAAGCGCUCUCUCUGUACUGUCUAACACUACGGACUAGCUCAAUCAAAGUCCAUAAGACAAAAUGUAGCUGCGUAGAUUGAUCGACCAAUCUGAAAUCUCACUCAACCAAGACUGUGGCAAUAUGAUACCCUCUAGCACUCCAACCUCCAAUCUAUGGAUACAUAUUGGUGAUAUAGCUAGCUUCACUGAUAUUGCAUCUCGAAACGCGCAUUGUGAUGAUCAAACUGAGAUCCAUGAAAGGUACUGCCACUGAAGAAAUCUUGCUCCUCAAGCUUAGGUACAGGUGAAGAAAUGCCGAUGAAAGGUCCAAUGAUCGCAUUCCCAUUCAUCGAAUUGAAGACCAUCUGCGGUCCCUCAUUCGACACUUUCCAGUCAAAUUGCUGCUUAUUACUCAUCUUUGGAUGUUGCUGUGACUGAACCACAACUGCAGACUCAUGAUCUUGUGACGUUGAGCUUCUAGUAGUACUCUGGCUACUCCCUACUGAUCCAGAUUUGGUAUCUGACACAUUAACGGUUGUGAUGUCGUGGAUGCUAGACCUUCUCUUGUCUUUGCCUCCUGUGAGUUGCCUGAUAUAGUACUUUUGAGCAUGACUGGCUACUUGAGUUGGUGUCCUAGUGGUCACAAAAUUUCUUGAGAUAUUUCUCCAGUCACCUUUACCAUACUUUUUAAGUCCCAUCAGAAAUUGCCUGCAAUACAGUUUGCCAUAUAACACACUACAUUAAAAGCUGCAGAAUGAUCCCCUAUUCCACUAGGACACAAAGCCAAAAAAGGCUUCAUGGUAAAUAACCCAUUUCUAAACAAUAUAGUACUGUUCAUCUGCUUAUUAAAUUGCAAGAACUAAUUAGACCUAAUUUGCUAUCUAACAAGCCUUUUUAACUCUCUCAGUACCAUUUCGGUUUGUUCAACAUUGAUUAUACUCUAAGCUAUAUAUAUGAACAAACUAGAAUAGAAGUUUGACACAAUUUCAGUUCUAAGCGAACCUCAAAGCUCCAAGCCUUGAAGGGUUUCAACUUUCAAGUACUUUGCUUUCAAACAUUUCGAUCAAGUACUAAAUUUGCUUUCAAACAUUUGAAAAAUGACCAACACAAACAAAGUUGAUGCUCAAAGAAAGAUAUUCAGGUAAGUUACCUGUGCUCUUCUUCAGUCCAUGGCACACCUUUCUUUCUUUCCUGCUCAGACGGCCGAGUCGACGAGCCUCUCUUGCCACCAUUCCCACCAACACUAUAAUAUUGCUUCAAUCCAUCGAAGCCUUGAUCAUCAACCCACUCCAAUGUGAAAGAAUUAUUAUUAGAAUACCCAGGAAUUGGGAUAAGACCAGCCUCAAUAUCACUCACAUCUUCCUCCAACUCCUUGUACUGCUUGAUCACAUCGCCAACGGUCUUUCCAGGGAUCAAAUAAGCCACCUUUUGCCAUCGAUCAGGGGUGUCCUUAUCAUAAAGAGCAAGAGCAUUCUCAAAUCGCUUGUUCUCCUCUGCGGUCCACUCGGCUCCUUUGCUUUCUUGGAAUAACCAAUUUGAGUUUUGAAUAUAAGAGGCUGGAGAUAGAACUUCAAUUCCCCUAUACAUGUUGGCUCUUACAGUAGUGUUGGAUUGAAAAGCAUAGGAAAGGAAAGUAAUGGAGUAGCUUUGGUCUCUCUCUUUUCUCUUUGAUAAGUAGCUCAAACAGAGAGAGAACCCAGAUAGGAAAUGCAGAGAAGUGGAGGUUUUUAAUGAAUUAAUCAAGGAGUAGCAUUUGAAAGGGAGAAUCUCAGUGUGCUUUAAGUUGAGGAAUCCAAAAAAGAGGAAAACUUUCCAAAACAAGAGGGAAGUGGAAUAAGCAAUUUGAAAAGAUUAGAUCUUGGAUUGUCAAGCAUAAACCCUAGAACCCCAUAUCAGAUUCAAAGCCACAAAGAUCACACAGAAAGGAAAAAGAAAAACCCAGAUCAAGUUUCAGGAAAGUGAGAUUUUUUUACACAGAAAAAAUGAAAGUUGAUGCAAAACCCAAUACCCAAUAGAGGAAACCAGAUAAAAGCGGCGUUGCAGAGCUGAAGAAGAUGAAAGAAAAGAAGAGGUGAGAGCGUGAAAGGAGUGAAGAGCAGAGGGUAGCUGUUUCUCUUUGUAGUGAUUGAGUUGAAGGACAGGGAUCUAUGGAACAGGAACAAGUAGAGGGAAGAGAGUGAAAAGGAGAGGUCAAAGUUGUUGAGUUGUGAUUGGUGGGUAUGGUGUUUGGGGUUGGCGAGAGAGAAGAGAAAGAGAAAGAGAAAUGCCCAACCAAAACCGAGUGUGGGACUUGAAAUCGACAGCCUGGGAUUCGCUGAUUGGAGACCCUGUGUCGAUGAAGUGGGGGUGUUUUUGUAAAAUAUAAAAGUUCAGUAGGGCUGGUUUCUACUUGAGGGAUGGCCGACUACAUUGGGCCUCGGUUGAAACCGAAUCUAACCCAUUAGCAUAGCCCAAUUCGGCAACUAUGGGAAUGAUCGGUUAGUGGUCAUUAUACCACGACACACAUUCAUACAAAUAAUCAUAGUUAUGAGUCUCUCAUCAGAACAACCAUAAGUCAAAAUGGCCUAAUCUCUAACUAAAAUUUACUCUCGAAAUGAGCUGCCAGAUCAUGAGAGUAUUGAUACAACUGUUGGAACUUGUGUGGGAUUUAUCCCACAUGGAAGAAGAACCAAAGGUGGUGGUCCUUAUAAGGUACUUUCCUUGAAACUAAGUAGUUGAUGUAAAACCUUGAUUGGGCUUGGUGGGUUUAUAUAGUCAAAAGAUGGGCCUUAAGCCUUGGGGCUCUUGGGCCCUAGUUGGUUAAAAUCUGUUUUUAAUUUCUGGAAUAUUUUUGGAAGUUAAAAAUCGGAUAAGACCAACAUAACUAUUGGAGAACAGUUACAAUUGCAUGGACAAAUGCAACUGUUCGAUUUUGGCUUUAUAUAUAGAACGACAUUGUUGUCGUUGUUCCCAUCGGAAAAAUACAUCGCUUUUCUUCUUCCUCCCCUAUUCUUAUUUCAGAAAGCAUACUGUAAAUUCGCCAGGGACAAGUUCUUGUGCAAGAACUUGUACCAGAUAGUUGUAUCCUCAGGAUAGUCGUCCGGAACUGCAGCACAAGUGAGGGCGAAUUUUUGUCUUAGGUCACUGCAUUGCAGGCCUCUAUCUAAUCAAGUUAGUGAAUUUCAAUUGUGUUUAUUGUUGCUUGUACGUUCAAUUUGAUUAUUGUGAUAUAUAUAUAUAUAUAUAUAUAUAUUGUUUGGAAUUGAAGAUAUUGGAUUGGAAUAACAACAACAUUGCCACCAACAAUAAACCGAGCUAAAUACCUUUAUUCAACACCAUGUCCAAACCAGAUCACAUGCAAAAGCAAUUCACCCUCAUGUUGAUAACUAGACAAUACUGAAAUGGAAACACAUAAUCCCCAGGAGUGACACCAUAUAAAUAGCAUACCGACCAGAACAAGACACCCAAACUCUCACUCGAUAGAGGAGAGACUUAUUAGACCUAACCAUAAAAACCUACAAAUGAAAAUAAAUUUCAAGUCAUGUUGAAAAGGAGGACACAAACCCAAAGGAGAACAAAGCCCGCUAGGAAACUCAUGAUUGGGUCCAAAAUCACCCUAGCCUACCUUGGCAGUUUGCUUAUAGAGCCGCCUCAUGUUCUUUGUCGGACCGCCGUCACCAAUCGUCCAACUUCUAAUCAUUCUCUUCCCCAAAUUGUACCCUUGCAAAGCAACCAUAUCAGGAUCGACUUGAGCAUAACAAAGCCACCACGAUCUCUCUAUCUCUGGUCCACUCCCAUCCAUAUGCUACCACUCCAUGUCGUCGUUGCCUAAGCAAAGAUGGUAUAGCCGCAUCUUCAAUCUGAUUUACACUCAAAAUCGAUCAGCAGGUAUUCGAUCUCUGAACCCCCCACAGUCAUGAUCUCUACAUCAAUCUCAUGAAACUUCCAACCGCACCGUACCAUCAAUCCUAACCAAUACUAGAGAAUCCAUCUGAUGACGGCGUCACAGGUUGCACAAUCGAACGGAGAAGAAAACCUUAGUUUUGUCCAAGUUUUAUGGAGUGACUUUUGACUCGGAUGUGUUGAGAUCUGAAUCCUAUAUGGGAAAUAUAUAUGCUCCUUGCCUGUGGGUUUAUAAGGGUUUGGAUCUUUUCAUCCAUUGCCAAUUAGUUUUGGGUGUGAACCCUAUACUACUUCAUCACGGUAUCAUAGUGGGUUACCAAGUCCACGUGUAAGGUGUAACAGUCACACUGACUCCACGUCACCCAAAUGUUCUCCACGUGUAUGGCUUAAAAAGUUGCCACACUUGUGGAGGCAUGUUAAGAUAUGAAUCCCACAUGAGAAAUAUGAGACAUUACAUAUGAGUUUAUAAGGGUUUUCACAUUUCUAACCAUUAUCAAUUGAUUUUGGAUGUGAACCGCAGACUGCUUCAUCAUGAUGAUCACAUGGUUAAAAAUGCUCCCAAUAGAAUCUAAAAGCUUUUUAAAAUACCAAUAUGUAGUAAGACGCAAGUCAUGAUCGAAAUAAAAAAAAAUCCUUUUUGCAAAUAUAAUUGUAUUUCCAAAUGCAUGUCUCGAUCUUCUAAACAGAAUCUCAUUAUUGUAUUCGAGUAAUGCUAGGUGUACCAGCUGCAUUCUGCCUUAUGUGAUGACAACUAAUGUUGCAGAAAGUCCAACCGAUCAUACAAUUUCAUCAAAUAAUGCACUACUACUACAAAACAAAUAAAAAAUUCUAUGACAACUACUUUAUGACGUUUGCCCAAAAAUGUCAUUGUAAACUUUUUCUAUGACGUUUUUGGAAGUAAACGUCAUGUAUCUAAACGUCAUAGAGUUUUUUUUGUAGUGUUAGUUUCAAAUGGGAUACCUGAAGCUUGCCACCACUGUUGCCAAAGCUCAUUUGUGCAUCGAUAACCUUCUCCAAUCUUUAAAUCCUGAAUAAUUUUGGUAACCAAGGCGGGCACUUAAGAGCAAGUCCAGCCCAAAAGGUUUUAAAGGCCUAGGCCUUUCGCCACUUAGGAUUAAAGACUCAACUUCAAAAUACCAACUUCCACCCACAAAAAAAGUUUAACCCAAUGAUCAUUAGGCCUUCGCCUGGGUCAGACCCAUGACCCAGGUCACCACUUUUGAUCACCCGGGCCUUCCCAAGCUAGCUCAGCUCAAUCCCAGGUCCACAACGACGUCAGCCACGUUACAGAGACAGAUGCCAUCUGCAAGACGCGAAAAGUAUAUGCGUCCACUACACGGACCAAUGGAAGACGUCCAGGUGCCAUGUACAUGCAAGAUUUUGUCUCGUUGUGGAAGCCAAGAGUGGGUCUUGAGCAGGUUGUUUGAUCUGGACCGUUUGUCUUAAUUAUUAAAGUGAAUCAAUGGCCAUCAAUUAUACACUGGGUUACAAUUGUAUAAUUCAACGGCUUGAAUUUUUUAUAUAUAUUACAACGGUAACUUGAGUUACCCUGGGCUUGAAAAAUUCUUAUAAAUACCAAACAUUUUUUUUUCUAGGCUUAGCCUGUCAAUUUAAGUCAUGUAAUAAAUAAAUAAAUAAUUUUUUUUAAAAAUUAUUUAUUACCUUUUGUAUAAUUUCAAUACGUUAUUUAUAAUUUUAUUAACACAUAAAAUCAUUAUUCACAUUCAAAAUACCUAAUAUAAAAUUCAAUAAACAAUCAAUGCCACGUGACGACCCAGAAACAAAAAUCGUGGGUGAAAACUUGAGUUAAAUUUCACUGCCACGUGACGACCCAGGUCACACCCGUGACCUAGGCCUUCCCAAACAAAGACCUAUGGGUGGACUUGCAUGCUCUAAGGGAGGUGGUUCCUCGGCCUUGCCAUUCAUGCAAUGUGAUAGCGGCUUCAGGAGCGUCACUUGUACGAGCUUCUUUUGGACUAGAAAAUGAAUUUUGGAGGGUUUUGGGUUUGGAGUCCAUUCAUUUUUUUGAAGAAAAAAAAUGCAAGAGAGGGUGAGCAUUUGAAUGCGAUGGCCUUAGAGGGGGAGGCCAAGGCGAAUUGUUGCAUGUGCCUAGUAUCCAAACAGGAGAUAAAAUCAUGUUGUGCAGGUUGAAGUGAUUUUAGAUCUGCUUCAUGUCCUAGACCUAAAACAUCCCCCUCAAUCGAAGCAAAAGAGAAAGGAGGAGGGCGGAAAUUGGCAUCGAGAGGCGGAACCGGAGAAAGGAAAAGGCGCGGUUGGGGUCGGAGAGGACGUUAGGGUCGGUGUCCGGUAGAGGCCGAGAUAGUUAGGGUUAGGGUCGGGCUGGUCGAGAAUGAAAAUUUGGGGUUUGAGGCUCUAAGCUUAAUUUGGGUUCGGGGAAGUUGUGUGAGAUUUUGUGGAAAUGUUUCUAGCAUUAGGUCAAAAGUGGAAAAAUGAACGUCAUAACGAAAGUUUUAUGACAUUUCCGAACGUCAUGGUCUAUUCUAUGUUUAUCAAACGUCAUUAAAAUAAAUCUUUUAUGACAUUUUCUAAUAGUCACGGCUAAAUAAUCAUUGAUGACAUUAAUUUACCGAACGUUAUAAAGAUAUUUUUCUUGACAUCUAAAAAUUAUCAUAAGAAUGAUGGCAGUGAUUAAACAUCAUUAGAAAGAUCAUUUAAUGACAUUUUCGGCCUAACAUCAUAAAAUUACUGUCCUUAAAAGACAAUAUUAGUAGUAUAGUGUGUAGGUAUACGUGCAUCCUACUUUAGUAACAAUCAUCGAAAGAGAGGUUAGACAAAGAAACUUGAAAUUCAUCACAACUUUAUAAUAUUACACACAAUGCAGAAGGCUUGCACAUCCAAAACCAAUAGAUACAACUUUUGAAAAAAAUUUGUACCACAAUGAAAUAUUCCAACAACCAACAAAAUUAGUCAUGAAUGUUUCUUGAGCAGGUUCUUUUCCACUUACUCGAGCAACAAUUUGAAUACAUGAAAUACAUAAAUCAGCAUCUGUUUAUUCAUCCUCUGUUUUGUUCUUCUUCUUGAUCAUUUGUGCCUCGAUCUGACAGUUCGAGUCCGCACAGUUUCUUUUUGGUUAGAGAUCUCUACUUGCAACGCUAGAUGUUUUUGGCGAGAGAUUUAACAGGUCGGAAGAUCCUUUGGAGGAGGUAGAAGUGAUUGAUUAGGUCCUUUCCCAUUGUCCACCAAAAAUGCCAUCUUAAGCCCCCAUGAUGUGUGCACUUCCAAAUGACAAUGCAUAAACCAAACACCUGAAAAAUGAUGCACAUAAUGAAAGGGGUAAGACACCAAAAUGAAGAAAUCAAAAGUUAUAAGCAGCUACAAGUUAUUCCGAAAUGGGUGAGGAAUUUCUGUAUGAGGUCGUUAUGUCUAAAAGGAGAUGACAGCUUACCAGGAUUAUCUGCGAUAAAUCGGAUUGCUACCCAACCACCAGAUGGAACACCAAUUGUGUUCCUUUCAACAGGAUCAACAAGAUUGAAGUUCUUAGGAUCGGUCUUGGGGUUGUAAUUGCCAAGUCCCCUGCCAAUCGCAAAGAAAUUGAAGCCAUGCAGAUGUACUGGGUGGUUCUCAGGGGCUAUAAUUCCAGUGUCUUGCAGCACAAGUUGAACAGUAGAGUUAUAAGCCAACCUAUAAACCUUUGUCCCAUUUGUAGUCGCCAGACUAGAAUUUGCUGGGAGGCCUCCAGAAAAGUUGAAAGCAUUUGGUGGGUUAGCUGGAAAAUCAGUGGUGAAAACCCCUUUGGUUUUGAAGAAAUGUGCUUGAAGCAGAGCUGUGGUUGGCAUAACAAAUGUGACAUUGUUAAUACUGGCCACCACACGGCUUCCAUUACCAGCUUUGCAACUAGGGCAUGGGUUAAUCCCUAACCCAAUUGUGAACAGAAGGUUGUGAUCAAUCUUUAAGGGGACUUUGGCAGGAAACUUCAUUGUGUUCAGGCUUCUGAGAGAGUCGGUAAAACUGUUGGCGACUUGGGUAGCAUUUUGAGGAGGUGGGCUCGUGAGAGUUGUGGGUGAGUUAGAAAGUGUGCCUGAAUAGUGCACAGUGGCAGUGGACGUCAGGUUGUCUACGGCGAUACCGGGAGUGUCUAAGAAUGGGGAGGCGGUAACCAAGUACUUGCCGGACUUUUGGUUUGCAGUGAUGAGAGCAUUCGUGGUUUGUCCAGGGGCGAUCACUAUGGUGUCAGUUUUGAAGGGUUUUACAUAGGUGGCGUCGACUUCCACUAUCGUCAACUUAUGUCCGGCGAUUUUGAAGAAGAGCUCUUCAUUGAGCGCAGCAUUGAUGAUGCGGAGCAAGUAGGUCUUGCCGCUUUCCACAGACAACUUGAAGCCGCCUGCAUUUCAUUAGCAUUGCAUAUAUUAGCUACUAGUGUGUUUAAUAACAUAACAUGUUAGACUGUUUUCUGUUUUUUGUUUUGAAUGAAUGUUAUAUUAGGCAGAAUCUGAGUACCAUCUGUGGUACAAUUUGGAGAGACCAAGCCAGGAUGACCGUUAAUAGUGUGAGCAUCUGACACGUUAGGUGCUAAACCACCUUUGAGAGCUUCAUUGAUCACUGCUUCAGUAUCUGAUUUCCACCAUUCAGCUGAAAUUUGUACACAUAUUUCGACGAUAUUAAGCCCAGCAUAACCUGGAAUCAGUAUGCUACUAGUUUGAUAUUGAAUUAGUAAAGAUAAAUCUUACCUAACACAACUGGAACUUCCUUGUGGGGUGUUGGGAAAGGAUAAGGCACACCACGCUUGGGCAGAAUGACAAGAGCACCAUGGACUGUGGCUCUUAGCCAGAGAAUAUGUGCAUGCCAAAGAAGUGUGCCUCUCUGGCCUGUGAUGGUGAAGUUGUAUGUAAAGCUUUGGCCUUGAGGAAUAGGGCACUGUGUGAUGUAUGCUGGUCCAUCUGACCAACCGGUCCGGAUUUGCCGGAUACCAUGCCUGCCGGAUAGAAAGGUAAGUCGGAAAUUAACUAGAAGUUAGCUUCAAUUACAAGUGAUUAUAUAGGUAUGGAUGCUAAUGAUUCUCACCAGUGAAUGGAAACGUUGUACGUGACAUGGUUGGUGACUUUCACAAGAACGGUGUCGUCUUCCCUGGCAUAGAGAGUUGGCCCUGGAAAACGACCGUUGAUGGUUACAAUUGGCUUGGUGGAGCAUAGUCUGGUAGUGUUUCUCAGCACCACCUGCGUACGUUAACAAAAGAUGGCAAGGUUAGGUUUUAGGUUUUGCAGUCUACAUCGAUCACAGAGUAUGAAAUACUGUCAUUUGGUAGAAAAAUGAUCGAAGGUGUAGUUUUUAGGUUUUGAGGGUGUACCUUCCAUGCACUUUUAACUUUUACACUACUAUUUUUUCAAUUUAGCUAAAUAAAAUCUAUAUAUAUUUCAGCUUUGAAAUAAUUAGGCACACCAUCCUCUUAGGUCUUAUUAGCUAGCUUUUAGUUUAAGAAAUCCAUCAUAUGUCUGUGACCACUGAUCAGAGACUCUGUGGUUUCAUCGAUCUCCAAUCUGUAUGGCAAACAUUCAUGCUACAUUGUACACCUCUUCCAUGAGUGUUUCCGAAUAAUAUGCAUGUAAACAUUUGAUAUUAACUAAAGAAAUGAAACAAACUCUAAUGAAAUGAAACAAAAGUUAAAUUACUUACAUUAAACUUGUAGUUACGAACCCUGCUCUCAACCAAAGCCGGAAGAAGGCAAGCCAGAAGAAGUAGAAGAACUCGAAUCCACGAAGCCAUUUUAAUAGAGGAAUUCGAAUCGUUCUGCUUCUCUGUGCAGUAGUACCAGUAGUAGUAGUACUACAGAUAAAAUAUUCCAGGUCUUCGUUUUGUUUGUGUUGUUGAUAAAUUUUCAUGGUGACUGGCCAGCACAAUUGUUAUAUAGGGUGACGAGAGGCAUUGCUGCCAAGUCGUUUUUCUUAGGUUAGGUGGACAUAGUGGCAUUCUUUAAAAACAAGACUUCUUAAGCCUAACCAAGGUGUUUUUCCUCACAUUUCUUACAUAUUACUUAAAGUUCGUAAUCCAUCACUGUAGCUGUCUAUAUUUUUCUGGUAAACAACAAUUUAUAUGUAAUUAGCUUUAUCAUUCAAUUCCCUCUUAUCAGGUUCCAAUAAGUUUUUACAAAUUUGGUUAUUUGUUUGUUUCCGAGUUGAGACAAUCAAUUAAUUGUGUCGUCCAUCUAGUCAUAAAUUUAAGCAACUAUUAUUACAGAAAGGCCUUAUCGAUCUGUGUCUCUUCUUCUGUUUCUGUAUUAAGUAUUCCUCGAAUUCUUGAUCGAACCUUGUACUAGUGCAAAUUUAUAGCACUCUAGCUUCGGGUGCUGUUUUAAAGCUUAAUCUUUUUCUCUCAGAGCUAAUUUUGAGAAACAGCUAGGGCACAUAUUUCAAUUUACUAGUUUUAAUCUAAUUUUUGUAAAUGAUGCUGCAGUUACGUACUAAUCACUAACCAUCCAAAGUAUAAAGACAUAAACAGUAAAUUAACUAGCUAGGUUAAAUUUUGUUACGGACUUUCUUUUCGAUUAUGUUCCGAGUUUAUAUGUGUCUUUUAAUUCAAAUUUACUAAAUAUAUUGAGAGAUUAGGUCCUCAAUAGAAGUUGAAUUGGAUUGAACAAACACCCCACAUGCACCCCUCCUUUCCCAUCAUAUUUUAAAGGAAAGAGAGACAUCAGCUGGUCCUUUUUGCGUAGGAGUGUAUAGUGUAUAUAACUCGAUCAUCAGUUCAUGCUCAUUUUCCUAGUACGUGAUGUAGAUUUGUGGACAGUUUUGAGUUCUUGCAGAAAAGUUCGAUCGAGUAUGAGUGUGUACCUUAUUUAUAACUAGCGUACGCAAGGUAAUUUCCCUCAAAAGUUAACGUAAUUAGUAAUUAACUCCAACAGUUUGGAAUUACCUAUCUGUGGUAAGUAUGUAUAUAGCAAGACAGUGAGAGUAUUGAUUAAAAAGCCAUAUACAUAUGAUGAAUAUGAGCUGCUGGUGCAUGCAGCCGUGCAGGUGAGUGGUUUGUGGGUGUCUGAUACGUAGAGAGUUGGAAAAUUAGUACGUGUAUGAAUCCAAGGAGGAUGCUUAGGAACCAAAAUAGUUGGAAGGUUGGGAAAUGGCUUUCAGGUCACAAAUCAGAUAGGAACUCCCAACAGCAUAGCCAUUAUAGUUUUGUUUCAAAGUCAGACGAAUUAAACCGACGGUGGGUAAGUCCAUUUCUCAUCACCGUGAGUCCUAAUCAACUCUGAACUUUCUCUAGCUCCAACUAGCUAGUGACUUUGAUCUGGUCCUAUAUAUUUAUUUUUCACUUCAAUUAGUUUUAAUUUGUUCUAUUUUUCUCCACUCUCAACAAUCUCUAUCAGUCUAUAUCUCAAAUCACGUACAAACACGAAGAUUCGUUCAGGCAACAAUAAUGGUCAACUUCGAUGGAAGCUAGCAAGGUAGUCUUCAUCAUGAAGUGCUAGCUCAUUGCCAGCAGAAAGCUUGGCUUCAGCUGCUUCACGACUAAGGCUAAUUGCUAGUUAGUCUUCAAAUAAUCUUCUUCAUCAUAUAGUUCUUGUUUCCACUAAAUAACAUCAAGAAAAUCGAUCCCUUUGCCCUUUUCUUGUCUUUUAUUCAGUUGUGACCUAUUGUUGGUGUUGUACGCAGCUCUAUUAUGGCAAUGAGUUUCAUACAUGGUAGGUAGAAUUUGUCUUUCCUACACAUACGUGCAUUGAGCUCAACCCUUCAAAGGCUUCACGUACUUUUCUUUUGCAUAAAAUAUGACUUCAUUGUAUCAUAAACUAGGUAAAUUGUAGCGUUGGAGUAGCCUCAUUUAGUCGCAUGAUCUGAUUUUAUAUACAGAUAUGUGAGGUAACGAGUCGUAUUUCCUAGGGCAAGAAAAAGAAAGGAAGUGUGUUGAGUAACAUGAAUCAAAUUUUCAAAACCAUGCCAUUAAUAUAUAAGAAUUUAGAACAGAUUACAACUAAUUGUAUGAAUUGAUAUCUAGUCUCACAUUGAUUAGUGAGGCAACGAAAGUGCGUAAUUAAGAAGAGAAUUACUAUCCUUUCAUUGAAACUGAAAGCACUAUUUCAUCUGAAAAUGUUGUAGCUAAGUUUUCAUACUUCAAGAGAGAGAGAAAAUUGCUUUCGUUUCUAUAGUUAGGAAUGUUUCAUGAUCAUUUUCGAUAAUUUAAACUUUAAAGUAAAAAUUACAUAAACAUGUGACAAUAGUCCCCGAUCUGUAAAAUCUAUAUGAGGGGGAGUGAAGGAACGCACCCACCUGCAUUCUAGAAGCCGAGUUGUGUCAAUAUGUUCAGUAACAGCGGGGAGAGAUAAAAUACAUCAAAACGGCUGAGUCCGGCAAGGAUAAACAAAGAAAGUUUCGUCGACAUGCAUCAUAUAUGAUACAUAUUCUUACCUUUGUUAAGAGAAAAUUUGACAUUAUUAAUGUGAGGGCAAAAAGUUACCAUCGAAAGUUUUUUAAAAUUUUUUUUUAUUAGGAAUUUUUUUUUAUGACUUACCCUAAAAAAGUCACGUAAGAAUCAAGUCAUGAGGUUACCCUAGAACAAACAUAUUGCAAUCACCAUAUGAUUAAGCACAAGAGAAUAGAGAACAAGAGAACCAUAAGAUUGCUAGAGAACCCUAACUUUACUAGUAAAACGAGAUUAUUCAAACGCAACCUAGGACCACCCUAACGGAUUAAAAAACCUAAAAGACUAAAUCUCAAAACAAAAUUAAAACUAGGCCCAAACAACAUCAGGGCUCAGCCUUUUGUGCAGCACAUGGAAGCCCAACUAAGGCCCAACACAUACACCACCGUCAGCCACCUGCCUUGCCGUAUUGGUCUGAAUCCUCGUCGUUGUCUUCACCACUAGCGCGAUCUAGCAUAGAAAUUGAAAGGAGA
RNAcentral lists this long non-coding RNA (18028 nucleotides) under Fragaria vesca (wild strawberry). RNAcentral's name for it is "long non-coding RNA (FVES_LNC002848)". The record is from RNAcentral. Lineage: Eukaryota; Viridiplantae; Streptophyta; Magnoliopsida; Rosales; Rosaceae.